UGGCCUGCCUUACCAAUAAGAGAAUUGCUCCAACUAUUGGCUUGGGUUUUUCCCAAUUUUUUUAAACCUGCUUGGAAACAGCAUGAUUCAGCUGGACGUCAACAGAGCUCAUUUUAUUUUGCAUUCUUAAACGAAAUUAUGUUGUUGUCUUAUGAAUAGGGGACUUUUCAACAUGGUCAUUAAGCUUCUUCAAGGCCUUUGACCAGUUCUUAAAAGGCUUUUCAAAAAGAUGCCUAAGCUUUGAAGCGUUGUGUGUGUAUUGACCACCAAACAUAACACAAUUAAUGCAAAAUGCCCCAUCUAACAUGUAGGAAUACGCAAGCCAUGGAUACUGUUGCAACCAAAAAUGCAGAAAUCGACACCCCAAGGAAUUGACAGGGAAAUGAAAGUCCUUUCCAGGUUUUCAAAUAUUGUUCAGAAGAUCAUACUUCACUUGAUCCCAAAGGAAAAAGCACGAUUGGUAAAAAUUUCCGAUGUCAUUUUGAGGACAGGAAGAGGCGGAGAAAGCUUCUGGAAGUGAAGGAAGACGUCAAACGUCCAUUUUUGAGCUGUCAACCAUCUUGCUUUCGGAAGAAACCCUUGUGAAAGCCUGGGAAGAAGAUGCCAAAUCAUCAAGCUUAGUUUUUUUAAAGGCAAUGGCAUCUAUUUUCAUCUGCGUGCGCUUGGAAGCUCUUACAGGCUCUUGUCUAUUGUAAUCAUUUGCUCAACAUUUUGAUUUACCUGGCUUGAUCCUUCCAGUUUUUAAAGCAUCUUCUGACAUUUCCAGUAAAGGAACGUAAUAGUCUUUGAUUUCUGGAAAUUUACUUUAAGAGGAGGUGCAACAAAAAAUAUGGAUCUUUGUAUUGUUUGAAGAGGAAGAGCCUCUUGGCAAAAUGGUGCUCUUAAAGGAGAAUGGCGGAAUAUUUUUAUUUUUUGUACAGGUACUGGUACUUGUUGUGCUUAACACGAUGUGAUGUUAUUUUUUGUAUUUCUAUGAUAUUUUACGAGUAAUUGAGCUGAUAAUUCAAAUUUCUUCUGCAGGACAAUUAUCGUUUUCCAUCGUUUCCGAGAAUCCAUGUGGCCAUUGUGAUGUCAUAUGUCAUCACUGGUUUUCCUGCACGCAAUGUGGGCCUAUAUAAUCUGCAUAAAUUGCAGGUAGGAAUCAGCUGCAAAUUUCAGCAAAAUACUACACUGCAAUGCGUAUAACUGUUUCGAGGACAGUAUAAAAAGGUCUGACAAGGUAAAUGCCUCUUCUUGUACCCAUCCAGAAAGAAGAAUAAGGUUUUUUAGUUUUCUAAAAGACCUGGUGUACCGUCCAUUGUGGGUGCAAAAUAUGCGCCUGGAAAACUUUGUUGUUAAGGAUCAUUCAAGGCUUUGCGAGAAACAUUUCGAGGAUGACCAAUUUGAGGUAAGCUGACAUGUUGUAGAGUCUCUUGAUUUGGCUGGUGAGAAACAAAUCAAACUGAAAAAAGAUGCUGUUCCAACGAUAUUUAUUUUCAUGACUGUUGUAAUGCAAUGUACCUGUACCAUGCAUGUGUAAAAAAUCGUAGCAACAACAACAGAGUGCUUCUUGCCAAUCCAUCAUUAGUGUUUCAUGAAAAUUUGAGCUGUUUACAUGAGAAAUGCACCAUUGUUUAAAUUUAGUUAUUUUACCUGACUUGUCAGUGUCAAAUGAAACGAUUCUCUUCCAGAGGCCUUGUGAGUUGCUGUUAGCAAAAUAUCAUUCAAAUAAUUAAUAGGAGAAAUCUAGUGCAAAGGGAUUACUUUUUAAGCACGUUUUCAGUUUAUAAAAUCAGGUCUUACAUGUUUUACAUUGUUUGUUUUUUCAAAAUAAUAAUCUGUCUAUUUUAAAUAUGCAAGCUAAUUUUUCCAUAGUUGGUAUCUGAUAUGUUACAAACAAUCACAGUCAAUCGCUUGGUCAAUCUUAUGGAACAAAGUCAACUGCCGAUGCACAAAUUGGAUCACAAAUUUCAGAGAGUGAAAUCGGUAUUGACAGACAGAUGUGUGAUUCAUCCACCCAAUUACAGUCAUUUCAAACGAGGUCUACCCUGCAGCUAAUCCGAGCACACAGACCCUGGUUUAUUGGCACUUUAAAGGAACCCAAACAAAUACUAGAUCAUGGUCAAAAGAUACCAAGACAGAGCACAGGACAAAAGAUGCAUGCAUUCAGUUGAACGGCAGCUUCCUGUCAGAGCUGUGAUUACCAAUUUGAGUCCAGAAGCAAGCUUGGAGAGAAUGUCAUCUUCAGAUAGCCAUGAGUGGGUACCAAAUGAAUCUUCAGCAUCAGAAGAAUAUGGUGAGUCUAUAAAUACUACGCCAGUUGGAUGGAAUGAGCGAACAUUUCUAGUUUUUGAAUCAUGCCUAAUGUGUCUGUACAAAAAUCCGUCUUUCAAGAGUAAUGAAGUUGGUGGUGCAAAAAACAUGGAACUUGAAGGUAUAAAACGAUGUUUCCAGCUGUUAGAUAGUGAGCAUUUGUUGUACAAUACUUUGGUCACAAAUCGUCAUGGACCAGUCGUAAAAUUUAUCCGGACAGAAAGAAAAAAAAAGCAUCACUUGGAUGUGUUCCAUGUUGCAAAAGUGAAAAACUACGACUUUAACUUGAAACUAGAUGCACAUAGUUGCCAUUUUGACUUUUCAUUUAGCCCUUUUCUAAUAGACCUUUUACGGCAGGUAUGGUGUUGUAAACAAAUAUUCAUAUAAAUAUAAUUCUAAAAACAUUGUUAAGUAACACAUUUCAACUAGACUCUCAGCUAUUUUGUCGCUAAAAAAUAAAUUUGGAAUUCUGAUUUACCAGAGGAUGGCUUCACAAAGUGCAUCAAACAAAGGAACUGAUGACACAUUCUGGGGCUGCAGCCGGAAAACUACUGAAAUGUAAAAUGUUUGAUCAGUUGACUUUCAUAAAAGAUAAACACAAAUAGGCCAACUACCAGCAACCUCAAAAUUGAAGAGUCCUACCAGCAUUACAGCCACGCCAGUAGGAGGUAGCAGACCCAAAUCAAACUCCAGAAAAAGGAAAUUGGAAAAACCUUCUAUUGACUCCUAUGAUGCUUAUCUAGCAGAAUACCAUGAUUGACUGUAUCAAAGGCUUUAGAGAAGUCUAGAAAGAUACAACAUGAAAAACGUUUUCCUUCAAUGUUUUCAACUAGCUUUGUGCAGAGAUCUAAGAUUGCCAAUGUUGUUGAUUUAUUUUUUUGAAAUUCAAAUUGAUGCCUGAAAAUUAUUCUGUACUUGUCUAAAAAGUUAGCCAAACGAGAGUGCAUUGCCUUCUCUAGAAGUUUACUAAAGAUUGGUAGGAUUGAGAUAGGUCUAUAGUUAGUAAGUUCAAGUUUUGAUUUGCCCUUGUGUAUUGGUGCCACUUUCGCAAAUUUCAAUUUCUCUGGAAAAAUUACUUUUUCAAAUGUUGAGUUAGCUAUUAAAGAGAAAGGCAAUGAAAUUGUGUACCUUACUAGUCUAAUGAGUUUUACGGGUAGAUCAUAUGAGUCAUUGGCUUUAGUUUUGUCUAAGUUGGCAACUAAGUCAUUAAUUUCUUGAGGUGUAACGGGUUGAAAAAAAAGCUUCUUGGGUUUAGUGUUUUAAGAUAAUUUUUAAACUUCUUGGUGGGGGGUUUCAUUUUGUCAACUAUUCUUUGUGCAACAGUUGUAAAAUAUUCGUUGAAACAGUUUGCUAUGAUUUUAUGAUUAGUGGUCAAUUUACCAUUAAUUGAAAGGCAAAGGUCAUUGGAGUGCUUUUUCUGUUUUUGAAUGAUAUCAUUAAUGCCAGACCAAACCUUUUUCGAACUUUUUUUGAAUUUGUCAAAAUAGGAAAUGUAAUAGAUUUUUUUGCUUUUUGUUAUCAGAUGAUUUAGAAGGUCUCUAUAUCCUUUAUAUUUUUGGUAGCAUGAGGGAUCUUUCAUUUUCCAAAAUUUUGAGUAAUAUCUAUUUUUCACUGAGAUUGAUUUAAGAAUACCAGUUGUAAUCCAGGGUUUAUUUCUCAUUUUAUGCAUUUUCUUAGGGAUCUCUUUAAGGAGGCGUGUUUAUUGAUAAUAUUUAACAGUGUAUCCUGAAAGACAUUAAAUUUUGCAUUCGGAUUAUUUUCAGCAUUUAUUAAUUUUACAAGGUCCACCUGUCUUAGGUCUGAGAUGUAUGAGUCAGCAUCAAAGUUAUUGUAAUCACGAUAAAAACUUUUCCUACCCUUAGAAAAUUUAACAUUUAGGUUUUGACAGAAUAUGAAGUUAGGCAUAUGAUCUGUUAUUUUAGAGAUCAGAUUACCGCUAAAGGUCUCAAAUUCUAAUGAGUUCAGAAAAAUAUUAUCGAUCAGAGUAGGUCUUUGAUUACCAGCAAUUUUAGACGGCUGAAUUAUGUGAGGUUGGAAAAAAUUUGAUAGUAAGAGAUUCAAGAAGUUGUCUGUAUAUGCUUCUGUAUCAUAACGAAGAAGUCACCAGUAAUAAAUGCGAUUUUGUUUUCCUUUCUGAUCUUGCAUAAUACUGUGUUUGUUAAGUAUUCAAUGAAUUUAUCCUCUUGUUUUUUUCUUGGGUGACGAUAUAUAACGCCAAUCACGUAAUUUGACUUUGGUGAGUUGGUAAUUUCUAUCCAGUUUGCUUCAAAUUCACAAUCUUUUCCUAUAAAAGAGUAGUCUAGGUCCUCCCUGGGUAAAAAUGUAAUACCUUUGGAAACAAAGAAGCCACAGCCACCCUUUAGACUAUUGCCAGGAGUACCAUGAAAUUUUUGAUAGCCAUUUAAGUGUAGGUUUUCAAUUGUACUUUCGUUUUCCUGGAGAUCCAAGCUUCUGAAAGGGCUAUAAUUUCAAAGCUAUGUCCUAGUGUUGUUUGAAGAUAUUCUAAGUUGUUGAUAUUUUCAUUCAACGAGCAAAUGUUUGUAUGCAUCAUACUAAAAGGCAUGUUUCUAAAUGCUUUUAGCUUUCGUUGUAACUUAAGAAAUUCAUGUGUGCAGUAGUAUUGAAAGUUACAUUUGAGAUUUAUGUUUUCAUCGAUAUCAUUGUUUGAAUUAGGAUGAGCAGUGUUUAAUUUAAGUCUGUUGAAGUCAAAUUCUGUAACUGUUUCGGUAAGUUCUAGUUCAGUUAGCUCUUGCAUGAUAGUAGCACAUGGACAAGUUUCAGUGGAGUUGAAUCCUUCAGCAAUUAUUUCAAAAAUAUUUAAAGAGUAAAAAGGAAAUAUUUUUUCACAGCAAGAUGAACAGUGCCAAUUUUCUAAAAUCGCUCGGAUGUCGUGAAGUUGCCAGUUUGGAAGGCGGCCACACUU
Rhopilema esculentum is the source of this 5215-nucleotide non-coding RNA. The record is from RefSeq and is a predicted model, not a curated record. Lineage: Eukaryota; Metazoa; Cnidaria; Scyphozoa; Rhizostomeae; Rhizostomatidae.